RNAcentral lists this ribosomal RNA (388 nucleotides) under Gephyrocapsa cf. muellerae. Its description in RNAcentral is "partial small subunit ribosomal RNA". It matches the Rfam family "Eukaryotic small subunit ribosomal RNA", at positions 582 to 975 of the family's 1831-position model. The record is from RNAcentral. Lineage: Eukaryota; Haptophyta; Isochrysidales; Noelaerhabdaceae.
AUUCCAGCUCCAAUAGCGUAUAUUAAAGUUGUUGCAGUUAAAACGCUCGUAGUCGGAUUUCGGGGCGGGCCGACCGGUCUGCCGAUGGGUAUGCACUGGCCGGCGCGUCCUUCCACCCGGAGACCGCGCCUACUCUUAACUGAGCGGGCGCGGGAGACGGGUCUUUUACUUUGAAAAAAUCAGAGUGUUUCAAGCAGGCAGUCGCUCUUGCAUGGAUUAGCAUGGGAUAAUGAAAUAGGACUCUGGUGCUAUUUUGUUGGUUUCGAACACCGGAGUAAUGAUUAACAGGGACAGUCAGGGGCACUCGUAUUCCGCCGAGAGAGGUGAAAUUCUUGGAUUUAUGGAAGGCAAACUAAUGCGAAAGCAUCUACCAAGGAUGUUUUCAUCA